Molecule: transfer-messenger RNA, 311 nt
Filed under: Guinardia striata
Lineage: Eukaryota; Bacillariophyta; Coscinodiscophyceae; Rhizosoleniales; Rhizosoleniaceae
Description: SsrA
Rfam family: transfer-messenger RNA
About the family: Bacterial tmRNA, also known as 10Sa RNA or SsrA, is named for its dual tRNA and mRNA-like properties. Its role is to liberate the mRNA from a stalled ribosome.
Source: RNAcentral
GGGGCUGUUUUGGUUUCGACAUUUAAAAUUAUUUAAAGUAUGAUGCAGGUCGAAGUUUGUAUUCUUCGUAAAAACAUACUGAUUUAUAAUAACUGCUAACAAUAUAAUCCCGUUUAGUCGUAAACUAGUAAUGGCGUAAAUCUCUCCAUUUCUUAUUUACUUUAGUUGAAAAAUUAGUUCGCUAUAAUUUUUUGUUAUAGCUUUGAAUAAUUCUUUAUUACUUAACUUUUGUUCAGUUUUCUGAACUAAACCUGUGAACGAGUACUUUGAUGCUUUUUAGAUGGACGUGGGUUCAAUUCCCAUCAGCUCCA